GACGAACGCUGGCGGCGUGCUUAACACAUGCAAGUCGUACGGUAAGGCCCUUUCGGGGGUACACGAGUGGCGAACGGGUGAGUAACACGUGAGUAACCUGCCCACAACUUUGGGAUAACGCUAGGAAACUGGUGCUAAUACUGGAUAUGUGCUCCUGCUGCAUGGUGGGGGUUGGAAAGCUCCGGCGGUUGUGGAUGGACUCGCGGCCUAUCAGCUUGUUGGUGGGGUAGUGGCCUACCAAGGCGGCGACGGGUAGCCGGCCUGAGAGGGUGACCGGCCACCUUGGGACUGAGAUACGGCCCAGACUCCUACGGGUGGCCGCAGUGGGGAAUAUUGCACCAUGGGCGCCAGCCUGAUGCAGCAGCGCCGCGUGCGGGAUGACGGCCUUCGGGUUGUAAACCGCUUUCAGCAGGGACGAAGCUUUUUGUGACGGUACCUGCAGAAGAAGCACCGGCUAACUACGUG
This 465-nucleotide ribosomal RNA is filed under the name uncultured bacterium. RNAcentral's name for it is "partial 16S ribosomal RNA". It matches the Rfam family "Bacterial small subunit ribosomal RNA", at positions 28 to 507 of the family's 1533-position model. The record is from RNAcentral.